Molecule: ribosomal RNA, 497 nt
Filed under: uncultured bacterium
Lineage: Bacteria
Description: partial 16S ribosomal RNA
Rfam family: Bacterial small subunit ribosomal RNA
Source: RNAcentral
GAUGAACGCUGGCGGCGCGCCUAAUACAUGCAAGUCGAGCGAACAGACGAGGAGCUUGCUCCUCUGACGUUAGCGGCGGACGGGUGAGUAACACGUGGAUAACCUAGCUAUAAGACUGGGAUAACUUCGGGAAACCGGAGCUAAUACCGGAUAAUAUAUUGAACCGCAUGGUUCAAUAGUGAAAGACGGUUUUGCUGUCACUUAUAGAUGGAUCCGCGCCGCAUUAGCUAGUUGGUAAGGUAACGGCUUACCAAGGCAACGAUGCGUAGUCGACCUGAGAGGGUGAUCGGCCACACUGGAACUGAGACACGGUCCAGACUCCUACGGGAGGCAGCAGUAGGGAAUCUUCCGCAAUGGGCGAAAGCCUGACGGAGCAACGCCGCGUGAGUGAUGAAGGUCUUCGGAUCGUAAAACUCUGUUAUUAGGGAAGAACAAAUGUGUAAGUAACUAUGCACGUCUUGACGGUACCUAAUCAGAAAGCCACGGCUAACUACGUG